UAUUAAAAAAUUAUCAAUUUCUACUAUUAAAACUUGGCGUGCUUGACAGAAUAACUAGACAAAUACAUUGGCAUGCUACAUGUUCCUUUGCUGACAUAUAAUGACCAGUUUUUAACCGUAAGAGUAGAUAGAAUUUUUAACA
This is a non-coding RNA of Gossypium hirsutum (cotton), 142 nucleotides long. The record is from Rfam. Lineage: Eukaryota; Viridiplantae; Streptophyta; Magnoliopsida; Malvales; Malvaceae.